This 253-nucleotide ribosomal RNA is filed under the name uncultured bacterium. RNAcentral's name for it is "partial 16S ribosomal RNA". It matches the Rfam family "Bacterial small subunit ribosomal RNA", at positions 524 to 776 of the family's 1533-position model. The record is from RNAcentral.
UACGAAGGGUGCUAGCGUUGUUCGGAAUUACUGGGCGUAAAGCGCGCGUAGGCGGCUUUCCAAGUCAGGGGUGAAAUCCUGGGGCUUAACCCCAGAAUUGCCUUUGAAACUGGAAAGCUAGAGUGUCGGAGGGGAUAGCGGAAUUGCUAAUGUAGAGGUGAAAUUCGUAGAUAUUAGCAGGAACACCGGUGGCGAAGGCGGCUAUCUGGACGACAACUGACGCUGAGGCGCGAAAGCGUGGGGAUCAAACAGG